This 394-nucleotide ribosomal RNA is filed under the name uncultured bacterium. RNAcentral describes it as "bacterial SSU rRNA". It matches the Rfam family "Bacterial small subunit ribosomal RNA", at positions 370 to 772 of the family's 1533-position model. The record is from RNAcentral.
AAUGGGCGGAAGCCUGAUGCAGCGACGCCGCGUGAGGGAUGACGGCCUUCGGGUUGUAAACCUCUUUCAGUAGGGAACAAGGCUUUCGGGUUGAGGGUACCUGCAGAAGAGGCGCCGGCUAACUACGUGCCAGCAGCCGCGGUAAUACGUAGGGCGCGAGCGUUGUCCGGAAUUAUCGGGCGUAAAGAGCUCGUAGGCGGUUUGUCGCGUCUGCCGUGAAAUUCCAGGGCUUAACCCUGGUCGUGCGGUGAGUACGGGCAGACUAGAGUGCAGUAGGGGAGACUGGAAUUCCUGGUGUAGCGGUAAAAUGCGCAGAUAUCAGGAGGAACACCGGUGGCGAAGGCGGGUCUCUGGGCUGUUACUGACGCUGAGGAGCGAAAGCAUGGGGAGCGAA